UAGGCAAAUCCGUCGCACACAUGGCUGAGACCUGAUGCCGAGCCGAUUGUGGUGAAGUGGAUGAUCCUAUGCUGUCGAGAAAAGCCUCUAGCGAGUUUCAUGGCGGCCCGUACCCUAAACCGACUCAGGUGGUCAGGUAGAGAAUACCGAGGCGUUCGGGUGAACUAUGGUUAAGGAACUCGGCAAAAUGCCCCCGUAACUUCGGGAGAAGGGGGGCCAUCACUGGUGAGAGGACUUGCUCCUUGAGCUGGGGGUGGCCGCAGAGACCAGCGAGAAGCGACUGUUUACUAAAAACACAGGUCCGUGCGAAGCCGUAAGGCGAUGUAUACGGACUGACGCCUGCCCGGUGCUGGAACGUUAAGGGGACCGGUUAGUCACAUUUCGGUGUGGCGAAGCUGAGAACUUAAGCGCCAGUAAACGGCGGUGGUAACUAUAACCAUCCUAAGGUAGCGAAAUUCCUUGUCGGGUAAGUUCCGACCUGCACGAAUGGCGUAACGACUUCUCGACUGUCUCAACCAUAGGCCCGGUGAAAUUGCACUACGAGUAAAGAUGCUCGUUUCGCGCAGCAGGACGGAAAGACCCCGGGACCUUUACUACAGUUUGAUAUUGGUGUUCGGUUCGGCUUGUGUAGGAUAGCUGGGAGACUGUGAACUCUGGACGCCAGUUCAGGGGGAGUCGUCGUUGAAAUACCAGUCUGGUCGUGCUGGAUGUCUAACCUGGGUCCGUGAUCCGGAUCAGGGACAGUGUCUGAUGGGUAGUUUAACUGGGGCGGUUGCCUCCUAAAGAGUAACGGAGGCGCCCAAAGGUUCCCUCAGCCUGGUUGGCAAUCAGGUGUUGAGUGUAAGUGCACAAGGGAGCUUGACUGUGAGACCGACGGGUCGAGCAGGGACGAAAGUCGGGACUAGUGAUCCGGCGGUGGCUUGUGGAAGCGCCGUCGCUCAACGGAUAAAAGGUACCCCGGGGAUAACAGGCUGAUCUUCCCCAAGAGUCCAUAUCGACGGGAUGGUUUGGCACCUCGAUGUCGGCUCGUCGCAUCCUGGGGCUGGAGUCGGUCCCAAGGGUUGGGCUGUUCGCCCAUUAAAGCGGUACGCGAGCUGGGUUUAGAACGUCGUGAGACAGUUCGGUCCCUAUCCGCUGCGCGCGUAGGAAUAUUGAGAAGGGCUGUCCCUAGUACGAGAGGACCGGGACGGACGAACCUCUGGUGUGCCAGUUGUUCUGCCAAGGGCAUGGCUGGUUGGCUACGUUCGGGAGGGAUAACCGCUGAAAGCAUCUAAGCGGGAAGCCUGCUUCGAGAUGAGUAUUCCCACCCCCUUUGAGGGGUUAAGGCUCCCAGUAGACGACUGGGUUGAUAGGCCGGAUCUGGAAGGCGGGUAACCGCUGGAGGUGACCGGUACUAAUAGGCCGAGGGCUUGUCCA
RNAcentral lists this ribosomal RNA (1416 nucleotides) under Streptomyces mirabilis. RNAcentral's name for it is "bacterial LSU rRNA". It matches the Rfam family "Bacterial large subunit ribosomal RNA", at positions 1533 to 2925 of the family's 2925-position model. Lineage: Bacteria; Bacillati; Actinomycetota; Actinomycetes; Kitasatosporales; Streptomycetaceae. The record is from RNAcentral.